Molecule: ribosomal RNA, 301 nt
Filed under: uncultured bacterium
Lineage: Bacteria
Description: partial 16S ribosomal RNA
Rfam family: Bacterial small subunit ribosomal RNA
Source: RNAcentral
CAGUCGCCACGGGAAUACAGAGGGUGCGAGCGUUAAUCGGAUUUACUGGGCGUAAAGCGUGCGUAGGCGGCUUCUUAAGUCGGAUGUGAAAUCCCUGAGCUUAACUUAGGAAUUGCAUUCGAUACUGGGAAGCUAGAGUAUGGGAGAGGAUGGUGGAAUUCCCGGUGUAGCGGUGAAAUGCGUAGAGAUCGGGAGGAACAUCAGUGGCGAAGGCGGCCAUCUGGGACAACACUGACGCUGAGGCACGAAAGCGUGGGGAGCAAACAGGAUUAGAUACCCGAGUAGUCCCUGUCUCUUAUAC